Molecule: ribosomal RNA, 737 nt
Filed under: uncultured marine microorganism
Description: bacterial SSU rRNA
Rfam family: Bacterial small subunit ribosomal RNA
Source: RNAcentral
AGAGUUUGAUCAUGGCUCAGAACGAACGCUGGCGGCAGGCCUAACACAUGCAAGUCGAGCGCACUCUUCGGAGUGAGCGGCGGACGGGUUAGUAACGCGUGGGAACGUGCCCAGAUCUAAGGAAUAGCCACUGGAAACGGUGAGUAAUACCUUAUACGCCCUUCGGGGGAAAGAUUUAUCGGAUUUGGAUCGGCCCGCGUUAGAUUAGAUAGUUGGUGGGGUAACGGCCUACCAAGUCUACGAUCUAUAGCUGGUUUUAGAGGAUGAUCAGCAACACUGGGACUGAGACACGGCCCAGACUCCUACGGGAGGCAGCAGUGGGGAAUCUUGGACAAUGGGGGCAACCCUGAUCCAGCCAUGCCGCGUGAGUGAUGAAGGCCUUAGGGUCGUAAAGCUCUUUCGCCAGGGAUGAUAAUGACAGUACCUGGUAAAGAAACCCCGGCUAACUCCGUGCCAGCAGCCGCGGUAAUACGGAGGGGGUUAGCGUUGUUCGGAAUUACUGGGCGUAAAGCGCGCGUAGGCGGACCAGAAAGUUGGGGGUGAAAUCCCGGGGCUCAACCCCGGAACUGCCUCCAAAACUCCUGGUCUUGAGUUCGAGAGAGGUGGGUGGAAUUCCGAGUGUAGAGGUGAAAUUCGUAGAUAUUCGGAGGAACACCAGUGGCGAAGGCGGCUCACUGGCUCGAUACUGACGCUGAGGUGCGAAAGUGUGGGGAGCAAACAGGAUUAGAUACCCUGGU